UGCAGUUUGACAGGGUUUUCACCCCCCCAUCACUAUGGGAUCUAUGGUGCCACCAGUCUGCUAGCAUUUGUCCAUUAUUGUCAGCUAAGUUCCCUCCUGUUCCCUGAUUAAGAGGUGAUGACCAUUCCACUACCAUCGUCAACUCUCUCCUGACAUGAACUGAAGCCACGUCUCAUGUAGAGGUUCGACCGAUUAUGAUUUUUCAACGCCGAUACCGAUUAUUGGAGGACCAGAAAAGGCCGGUACCGAUUAAUCAGCGAAUUUUUUUAUUAUAAUUUUUCUUUUAUUUAUUUUUUAUUUUUUAAAUUAUUUAUUUAUAAUAAUGAUAAUUACAACAAUACUGAAUGAACACUUACUUUAACUUAAUAUAAUAUAUCAAUAAAAUCAAUUUAGCCUCAAAUAAAUAAUGAAACAUGUUCAAUUUGGUUUAAAUAAUGCAAAACAAAGUGUUGGAGAAGAAAGUAAAAGUGCAAUAUGUGCCAUGUAAAAAAGCUAAGGUUUAAGUUCCUUGCUCAGAACAUGGGAACAUAUGAAAGCUGGUGCUUCCUUUUAACAUGAGUCUUCAAUAUUCACAGGUAAAUUUUAGGUUGUAGUUAUUAUAGGAAUUAUAGGACUAUUUCUCUCUCUACGAUUUGUAUUUCAUAUACCUUUGACUAUUGGAUGUUCUUAUAGGCACUUUAGUAUUGCCAGUGUAACAGUAUAGCUUCCGUCCCUCUCCUCGCUCCUACCUGGGCUCGAACCAGGAACACAUCGACAACAGCCACCCUCGAAGCAGAGUUACCCAUGUAGAGGAAGGGGAAACAACUACUCCAAGUCUCAGAGCGAGUGUCGUUUGAAACGCUAUUAGCGCACACCCCGCUAACUAGCUAGCCAUUUCACAUUGGUUACACCAGCCUAAUCUUGGGAGUUGAUAGGCUUGAAGGGGUGGGCAUAAUUUGUGGAACGUUCCAACAGGAAUCUGUUCCAAAAAACGUAAAGUAAAAGGUUGCCAACCAACAACGCAUACAAAGUAGUAAUGCAUACAAACCUAGCUAACUAGCUGCCGAAUAGGCAUCAACUCACCACGUAGCUUAUUCUUAAUGUUUGUCCAUAGGCAACCAGAGUGAGGACAGACAUUUUUCGGAAUAAACGUGAUGAGUGAAAAACGCAAUGAAAUAGAUCACUCACCACCCGGUAUCUUAUUCUGCCGCUAUACAGCUUUGUAUGCGUUGUUUUUUGGCAACCUCGUUAUUUACGAAGUUUUUGGAAUAGAUUCCUGUUGGAACGUUCCACAAAUUAUACCCACCCGGUUUGAAGUCAUAAACAGCUUGAAACACAGCGAAGAGCUGCUGGCAAAAUGCACGAAAGUGCUGUCUGAAUGAAUGCUUACGAGUUAUGUUAUGUCAAUGUUAUGUCAUAAUUCGGACAAAUUAGUUCGCAACGAGCCAGGCGGCCAAAACUGUUGCAUAUACCCUGACUCUGCGUGCAAUGAACGCUAGAGAUGUGACACAAUUUCAUGUUAGCAGGCAAUAUUAACCUGUUGGGGAUAGGGGGCAGUAUUUGCACGGCCGGAUAAAAAACGUACCCGAUUUAAUCUGGUUACUACUCCUGCCCAGUAACUAGAAUAUGCAUAUAAUUGUUUGAUUUGGAUAGA
RNAcentral lists this long non-coding RNA (1633 nucleotides) under Salmo salar (Atlantic salmon). Its description in RNAcentral is "lncRNA (ENSSSAG00000109822.1)". Lineage: Eukaryota; Metazoa; Chordata; Actinopteri; Salmoniformes; Salmonidae. The record is from RNAcentral.